Long non-coding RNA from Carassius auratus (goldfish), 610 nucleotides. RefSeq lists it as uncharacterized. The record is from RefSeq and is a predicted model, not a curated record. Lineage: Eukaryota; Metazoa; Chordata; Actinopteri; Cypriniformes; Cyprinidae. The transcript has 3 exons.
GGAGACAGAUCCGUCUUGUGUGCCUGUGUCUGUGUCUGUGUGCGUGUGUGGUUUUUUGGUUUUCUAGCCAGUCUGAUCUGCUCCAAGAAACACUGAGAUGUUCUUCCGCAUUCCUCUCCUGACACCAGGAUACAUUCGAUACCUGCAGACUCAGACAGCGCGGACCAGUAUGCAGAGGGAGGGGCCUGCUGUACCCCGUCUUGCCAUGCUGCUAGGCCUUGUGGGUAUAGGGAUGUCAGGAUACAGCUCUCGCCAGCUGACCUUAUAUCACAAGCCAUCAUCACAUCUCCUGCGGUGAAACAAAAAGCAGCAAACAGAGAGAAAGCCCAUAGCUUUUGUAUAAAGAUCCUAAAGAAGACCAACAGAUUCUCCAAAGUCAAUGCAAACCAGCCAACAACAAAUCCAGCAGCCAACAAGACUAGCACAGCUGUCACAGCUCAAACAUCACGAUGAAGUAUGACUCCAGUUUUUAUUGAUUUUCUUAAAGAAAUUUUAAGAGACAUAUUGCUCUAAUGAAUAGAGCCAUUUAAGCAGGUCACCUUCAUAGCUAUGAGUCACAGUCACUAUUUACAGGACACGGAUUCAUCUUUAAUAUACAUUUAGCAUUUAA